AUGCAGGCGCAGAUCGAGCGGGUGCUGCCGCUCUCCAGGGCCCUCGCCGCCGCGCACCGGCAAGUGCAGGAUGCCAAGGAGGGAUUAUCCGUGGAGAGGGCGCGGCUUGGGGAUCUGCAGAGGCUGCUCACGACGAGGCAGCAGUCCAUGGUAGCCCAGGUCGCCGCCCUGUACCCUGUCAGGGUCUUCCGUGACCUGCCGGUUGCACAAAACCACCAUUCCCGUACCAAUGGAGAGUGUCGAAUACCUUCGGAAGAGAAUGGGGCACUUACGCAAGAGAAUGGAAAUGGAACACAUUUGCUCAGCGUUAUCAAGGACAAAGCACAUGUAAGCAGCGUUGGACCCUUGACAUUUUUUGGUUGGCAAAUUGGAAAGCCCAGGACAAAGCAGCGGACUUACAGCCACAAGGAGCUUCAGUGGUCAGCAGUUGUGCUUGGAUAUGCAGCACAUAUCGGUCGACAUGGGCGGGGCUGGUGGCGAUCCCCAGUCGGGCUACAUAGGGCCGACGACGAUCUGGACAGGGGCGGUUUGAGGCGCUCGCGCACAUCGGAGGUACAGUGGCGGCCGCGUCCUGCAUCAAAGGUGCGGCUAGGAAUCAGAGGAGGAUAUGGGAGGGCAAGAGGAAGGGACCGGGGAGGGGCUCACUGA
This 648-nucleotide ribosomal RNA is filed under the name Triticum aestivum (bread wheat). RNAcentral describes it as "partial small subunit ribosomal RNA". The record is from RNAcentral. Lineage: Eukaryota; Viridiplantae; Streptophyta; Magnoliopsida; Poales; Poaceae.